GAACGCACAUUGCGCCCAUUAGUAUUCUAGUGGGCAUGCCUAUUCGAGCGUCAUUUCAACCCUUAAGCCUAGUUGCUUAGUGUUGGGAAUCUGCCCUGUAUUUAUAGGGCAGUUCCUUAAAGUGAUCGGCGGAGUUAGGGCAUACUCUAAGCGUAGUAAUAUUCUUCUCGCUUCUGUAGUUGUCCUGGCGGCUUGCCGUUAAACCCCUAUAUUUCUAGUGGUUGACCUCGGAUUAGGUAGGAAUACCCGCUGAACUUAAGCAUAUCAAUAAGCGGAGGAAAAGAAACCAACAGGGAUUGCCCUAGUAACGGCGAGUGAAGCGGCAACAGCUCAAAUUUGAAAUCUGGCCCUAGCGGUCCGAGUUGUAAUUUGUAGAGGAUGCUUUUGGUUAGGUGCCUUCUGAGUUCCCUGGAACGGGACGCCAGAGAGGGUGAGAGCCCCGUACGGUUGGACACCGAGCCUCUAUAUAGCUCCUUCGACGAGUCGAGUAGUUUGGGAAUGCUGCUCUAAAUGGGAGGUAAAUUUCUUCUAAAGCUAAAUACCGGCCAGAGACCGAUAGCGCACAAGUAGAGUGAUCGAAAGAUGAAAAGUACUUUGAAAAGAGGGUUAAAUAGCACGUGAAAUUGUUGAAAGGGAAGCGUUUGCGACCAGACUUUUUCCAGGCGGAUCAUCCGGUGUUCUCACCGGUGCACUUCGCCUGGUUUAGGCCAGCAUCGGUUCUCUUAGGGGGAUAAAGGCCUGGGGAACGUAGCUCCUUCGGGAGUGUUAUAGCCCCUAGCGUAAUACCCUUCGGGGGACCGAGGAACGC
This 808-nucleotide ribosomal RNA is filed under the name Daldinia loculata. RNAcentral's name for it is "eukaryotic LSU rRNA". The stretch from base 223 to 808 matches the Rfam family "Eukaryotic large subunit ribosomal RNA", at positions 1 to 596 of the family's 3401-position model. Lineage: Eukaryota; Fungi; Ascomycota; Sordariomycetes; Xylariales; Hypoxylaceae. The record is from RNAcentral.